GACGAACGCUGGCGGCGUGCUUAACACAUGCAAGUCGAACGGACAGGCCCUGCUUUUGUGGGGUGCUCGAGUGGCGAACGGGUGAGUAACACGUGAGUAACCUGCCCUUGACUUUGGGAUAACUUCAGGAAACUGGGGCUAAUACCGGAUAGGAGCUCCUGCUGCAUGGUGGGGGUUGGAAAGUUUCGGCGGUUGGGGAUGGACUCGCGGCUUAUCAGCUUGUUGGUGGGGUUGUGGCUUACCAAGGGUUUGACGGGUAGCCGGCCUGAGCAGCUGACCGGCCACAUUGGGACUGAGAUACGGCCCAGACUCCUACGGGAGGCAGCAGUGGGAAAUAUUGCACAAUGGGCGGAAGCCUGAUGCAGCAACGCCGCGUGCGGGAUAACGGCCUUCGGGUUGUAAACCGCUUUCGCCUGUGACGAAGCGUGAGUGACGGUAAUGAGUAAAGAAGCACCGGCUAACUACGUG
Molecule: ribosomal RNA, 468 nt
Filed under: uncultured bacterium
Lineage: Bacteria
Description: partial 16S ribosomal RNA
Rfam family: Bacterial small subunit ribosomal RNA
Source: RNAcentral